RNAcentral lists this ribosomal RNA (408 nucleotides) under uncultured bacterium. Its description in RNAcentral is "bacterial SSU rRNA". It matches the Rfam family "Bacterial small subunit ribosomal RNA", at positions 32 to 432 of the family's 1533-position model. The record is from RNAcentral.
AAUCAACGCUGGCGGCGUGCCUCAGACAUGCAAGUCGAACGAUUAAAGCUCUCUUCGGAGAGUGCAUAGAGUGGCGCACGGGUGAGUAACACGUAAGUAAUCUACCUUCGAGUGGGGAAUAACGUCCGGAAACGGACGCUAAUACCGCAUAAUGCAGCGGCAUCAUAAGAUGACAGUUGUUAAAGAUUUAUCGCUUGAAGAGGAGCUUGCGGCAGAUUAGCUAGUUGGUAAGGUAAUGGCUUACCAAGGCUACGAUCUGUAACCGGUCUAAGAGGACGGUCGGUCACACUGACACUGAAUAACGGGUCAGACUCCUACGGGAGGCAGCAGUCGGGAAUUUUGGGCAAUGGGCGAAAGCCUGACCCAGCAACGCCGCGUGAAGGAUGAAGUAUUUCGGUAUGUAAACUU